Molecule: ribosomal RNA, 1411 nt
Filed under: Acinetobacter baumannii
Lineage: Bacteria; Pseudomonadati; Pseudomonadota; Gammaproteobacteria; Moraxellales; Moraxellaceae
Description: partial 23S ribosomal RNA
Rfam family: Bacterial large subunit ribosomal RNA
Source: RNAcentral
AAUCCGGGGUACUCUAUGCUGAGAUCUGAUAGCAAGCUGUACUUGUACAGCGAAGUGGUUGAUGCCAUGCUUCCAGGAAAAGUCUCUAAGCUUCAGUUACACAGGAAUCGUACCCGAAACCGACACAGGUGGUCAGGUCGAGUAGACCAAGGCGCUUGAGAGAACUCUGCUGAAGGAACUAGGCAAAAUGGUACCGUAACUUCGGGAGAAGGUACGCUGUUGUUGGUGAUGGAACUCGCUUCCUGAGCUGACGACAGCCGCAGAAACCAGGCCGCUGCAACUGUUUAUUAAAAACAUAGCACUCUGCAAACACGAAAGUGGACGUAUAGGGUGUGAUGCCUGCCCGGUGCUGGAAGGUUAAUUGAUGGGGUUAGCGUAAGCGAAGCUCUUGAUCGAAGCCCCAGUAAACGGCGGCCGUAACUAUAACGGUCCUAAGGUAGCGAAAUUCCUUGUCGGGUAAGUUCCGACCUGCACGAAUGGCAUAAUGAUGGCGGCGCUGUCUCCAGCAGAGGCUCAGUGAAAUCGAAAUCGCUGUGAAGAUGCAGUGUACCCGCGGCUAGACGGAAAGACCCCGUGAACCUUUACUGCAGCUUGACACUGAACUUUGACCUUACUUGUGUAGGAUAGGUGGGAGGCUUUGAAGCUGGAACGCUAGUUCCAGUGGAGCCGUCCUUGAAAUACCACCCUGGUAAUGUUGAGGUUCUAACUCUGUCCCGUGAUCCGGGACGAGGACCGUGUCUGGUGGGUAGUUUGACUGGGGCGGUCUCCUCCUAAAGAGUAACGGAGGAGUACGAAGGUGCGCUCAGCGUGGUCGGAAAUCACGCGUAGAGUAUAAAGGCAAAAGCGCGCUUAACUGCGAGACCCACAAGUCGAGCAGGUACGAAAGUAGGUCUUAGUGAUCCGGUGGUUCUGUAUGGAAGGGCCAUCGCUCAACGGAUAAAAGGUACUCUGGGGAUAACAGGCUGAUACCGCCCAAGAGUUCAUAUCGACGGCGGUGUUUGGCACCUCGAUGUCGGCUCAUCUCAUCCUGGGGCUGAAGCAGGUCCCAAGGGUAUGGCUGUUCGCCAUUUAAAGAGGUACGCGAGCUGGGUUUAGAACGUCGUGAGACAGUUCGGUCCCUAUCUACCGUGGGCGCUGGAAAUUUGAGAGGAUCUGCUCCUAGUACGAGAGGACCAGAGUGGACGAACCUCUGGUGUACCGGUUGUGACGCCAGUCGCAUCGCCGGGUAGCUAUGUUCGGAAGGGAUAACCGCUGAAAGCAUCUAAGCGGGAAGCCUACCUCAAGAUAAGAUUUCCCUAGGACUUUAUGUCCUCUAAAGAGCCGUUCGAGACUAGGACGUUGAUAGGUUGGAUGUGGAAGCAUAGUGAUAUGUGAAGCUGACCAAUACUAAUUGCUCGUGAGGCUUGACUAU